This 77-nucleotide transfer RNA is filed under the name Candidatus Bathyarchaeota archaeon. RNAcentral's name for it is "tRNA-Trp". It matches the Rfam family "tRNA". From Rfam's summary of the family: Transfer RNA (tRNA) molecules are approximately 80 nucleotides in length. Their secondary structure includes four short double-helical elements and three loops (D, anti-codon, and T loops). RNAcentral also lists the same sequence under 3 other names. The record is from RNAcentral. Lineage: Archaea; Thermoproteati; Candidatus Bathyarchaeota.
GGGGCUGUAGUCUAGCCAGGUAUGACGACGGGCUCCAGACCCGUAGGUCACCGGUUCAAAUCCGGCCAGCCCCACCA